Molecule: long non-coding RNA, 2417 nt
Organism: Pezoporus occidentalis (night parrot)
Lineage: Eukaryota; Metazoa; Chordata; Aves; Psittaciformes; Psittacidae
Exons: 4
Source: RefSeq, a predicted model, not a curated record
CCCGUCGCCCCCUCUUUCCCUGCGGAGCGGCUGUGGUGGUGGGUGAGGGGAUUCCAGAGUGGUGGUUGGGGCUGUGGUGUGCGCCGCUUCCCGAGUGGGGCUGCGGGGUGGCUGCGCUUCUCUUUUAUGCUGGGCUGCUGGGGAGGCCUGCCCGGGGCGCCGCUUGCCUAGUGCUUGAGGCUGGAGCUACCGGGCUAGGCGCGCACAUUGGAGCCCCGGGCGCGGCUAGGUAAAGGCUAGCGGCAGGGCCGCACCGCGGUGUAUGGCUCCUCGCUGCUGCCGCCGUCGCGGAGGAGCGUGGAUGCAGGGGUGCACUACGUGUUCCAGCACACCGCGCGCCUCCGCGGAGAGGGAGAUGGUAGCGUAGCGUGGCCGGUUUCCCUUGCAGGAAGCGGUGUCCUGCGGCGCGGGGCACGCUGGGGCCGGUAGUUCGCGGCAGGGGCCAGCGGGGGCGGCGGGCACCAUCUUGCCCUGAAGAGGGCGGCGCCCGACGAGGCGCGACUGGCCUGCGCCAUUUUGAUCGCUUGAAGGCUCGGCCGGCGGCGGGGGCGUUUCGGGUGCCCUGAGGGGCUGAUGAUAUGAGAAAUACUGCUUGCAGGCGGCAUCGGCUGGGGUCGGGAGCAGCCUCUUGCCUGGGUGGUGCUGCCUUUCUUUUCACUCCCUUGCCAUUUGAGUUCACACUUAAAAUACUCGCUGACGCUGAGGAAUGAAAUCGACCCAAACGUCACCAUGGGCAUGAGGCGUUCUAGUAUGAUGGAGCAGUUUUCAGUGGUGUCCAGUGUAGAAGCAUUAAGAGGAAAAUUAUCAAAAAUGUAGGAACAAAUGCUUUUAGCUUAUUAAGUGAUGAGUUGGAACACUUUGCCAGUGCUGCCUGACAAAUGUGGAUGAUCUGUAACUGGAAGGAAGAGUUAACACCGGAAGAGUUUUUUUUUGGCUUGGAGUGCGAUGCUGUGCUUUUAAAAGCCUGCUGAAGUUUUGUUUAGUGGAUACUGUUCUUAGAAGCUGCAUGUUAACCAAAAUCACACACUCUGCAUAUUUAAAACAGUGCUUUUUUCCAAAACAUUGAGCUGCCCUCUGUAGGGAGAAUAGCAGCAAUAUUAGGGAAAUCAGUGUUGAGCUUCAAUAGGUGAAAAAACCCCUCAGGGUAUUUAGCCCUUUUAAAAUAUCAUAAGGGUCUGCAGAGUUGCUGAUACUGAAGAUCUGUAAUAAAACAAUGGAACUCACAGGUAGGCCCUGUAAAGACAGGGAGAAAGCAAAAUGGGUACUCAAAUUCAAACCAGUGAGCCUGCUUUUUGAGGGUGGGGUCAUGCAGGAGGUGGGAUGAAGUAGAUGAGGUGGAUGUGGCAUGGAAGCAUAAACAUGAAACACUUGCAAGAAGUAUAUACAGGUAUCAUGAGAAAUGUGUGGUUACAGAAAAGGUAAGGUCCAAGGCUUGGGUUGCAGUCUGUCUAGUGGGGGAGAGGGAAAUUUAUGCCAUUACAGCAUGAAAAAACCAGUACCACAACAGUGGAACUGCCCUUCAAGAAGCAUACUGCCAAUGUUAGCUUUGUGUGGAAAAGAGGUCAGCAGUGGGAGAACGGGGCACACACAUUGGAGCUCAUGCUUUGAGCAGCCACUUGAAAACUAGUGGGGCUGUAUUCCAGUAGCAGCAUAUUUGGUGUAUUCAGCAAAUCGGCCCUCUUCCACAGAAGACUGAGGGAUUGUAAAUUGGUCACAGAGUAAACUGGAUUUUAGAGACAAAUCAUUAUGUACAUAAAAUGUAAUCUGUCUUAAAGCAUGACUCAAACCUGAUUUAUCAGAAAUCCUUUAUAAAGGAAGAAAUGAGAUAGUGACAGGAUACGUAAAAAUUGAUAGAGCUACAGUAACUGAAUCAUUUCAAAAUGCAGCAAAAUAAAACUACCUUAUAGGCUGCAGUCAAGAAUGAGUGCACUGGAUGUCAGCACUGCUCUCCCUUGAGAAUUGGAGGAAUUCCUAUACUCAUGGCAUGUGCUUGUAUCUAAGUGACAAAUCCCAUGAAAAGCCUAAUUUUCCGUCUAGGCAGUAUCAUGAAGAGCAGAACAUUACCAGUAGGGGCACCUAAAGCAUAGGGAAUAUCAGAAAUAAGUAUCCAUGUAACUACUAAAAUGUAUGCUAGGGAUAUGUCUGAGCUCCGGGAAUGUGUUGGCUAACUGAGCACCUCCUGUGCUGUGGUUAUUGCUAACAAGCAGAAACCAGUGACUUUGCCUAAAGGCUGCACCUUUUCAGCAAGUGGCUGUGUAAAUCACAGUGUGCUGGAACCUUCAGAAAGCUACAGAGCAGCUUUCCCUUCAGUGGGAUUUAUUAUUUUGUGAACAUGCUAUUGAGAAGGGUAGAUAUUUCUAUGUGCUAUGUUUUGUACAUGCUAUUUCUUGAAUAAAGAUGAGGAUGUGGAAAACCUA